Molecule: ribosomal RNA, 253 nt
Filed under: uncultured bacterium
Lineage: Bacteria
Description: partial 16S ribosomal RNA
Rfam family: Bacterial small subunit ribosomal RNA
Source: RNAcentral
UACGUAGGGUGCGAGCGUUAAUCGGAAUUACUGGGCGUAAAGCGUGCGCAGGCGGUUUUGUAAGUCAGAUGUGAAAUCCCCGGGCUCAACCUGGGAACUGCAUUUGUGACUGCAUGGCUAGAGUACGGUAGAGGGGGAUGGAAUUCCGCGUGUAGCAGUGAAAUGCGUAGAUAUGCGGAGGAACACCGAUGGCGAAGGCAAUCCCCUGGACCUGUACUGACGCUCAUGCACGAAAGCGUGGGGAGCAAACAGG